AGUGAACGCUGGCGGCAUGCCUAACACAUGCAAGUCGAACGGCAGCACAGCAGUAGCAAUACUGUGGGUGGCGAGUGGCGGACGGGUGAGGAACACAUCGGAAUUUGCCCAGUCGUGGGGGAUAACGUAGGGAAACUUACGCUAAUACCGCAUACGACCUUACGGUGAAAGCGGGGGAUCGCAAGACCUCGCGCGGAUGGAUGAGCCGAUGUCGGAUUAGCUAGUUGGUGGGGUAAAGGCCUACCAAGGCGACGAUCCGUAGCUGGUCUGAGAGGAUGAUCAGCCACACUGGGACUGAGACACGGCCCAGACUCCUACGGGAGGCAGCAGUGGGGAAUAUUGGACAAUGGGGGCAACCCUGAUCCAGCAAUGCCGCGUGUGUGAAGAAGGCCUCGGGUUGUAAGACUUUAUUCGGAACGAACGUAGCGGGUGAAUAGCUCGUAACUAGUACGGUACCGGAGGGAAUAAAGGCACCGGCUAACUUCGUUGCCAGCAGCCGACC
RNAcentral lists this ribosomal RNA (502 nucleotides) under uncultured bacterium. RNAcentral describes it as "bacterial SSU rRNA". It matches the Rfam family "Bacterial small subunit ribosomal RNA", at positions 29 to 519 of the family's 1533-position model. The record is from RNAcentral.